AAUUAAUGGAAGAUAAUUGGUGGGAAUUGUCCAAAAGUUGAGCCUUGAGGGUUUGAAGGGCUAAGGAAGGUGAUAAAGGAUCAGUAGGUUUGAGGGUUUUGGAUCUUAGAGGGUUGCCAGCAAAGGCAUGGGAUUGAAGGUUAAUGGACAUGGUGGUGGUUGUGGCAGUGAAAAAUGGAAGAGUUCUUGUUAAGGUGGUUUUGAUGGAGAGUCUUCUGGAGAGAGAACAGAGGAGAGCAGUUGUAGGUGAUGAAAAGAGGAGAGAGAGCAUGACUCUCUUUGUUCUUCCAUUUGGAUGGUUAAAUUU
This 307-nucleotide unclassified non-coding RNA is filed under the name Hevea brasiliensis (rubber tree). Lineage: Eukaryota; Viridiplantae; Streptophyta; Magnoliopsida; Malpighiales; Euphorbiaceae. The record is from RNAcentral.